AACAGGAUUAGAUACCCUGGUAGUCCACGCCCUAAACGAUGUCUACUAGUUGUUGGUGGAGUAAAAUCCAUGAGUAACGCAGCUAACGCGUGAAGUAGACCGCCUGGGGAGUACGGUCGCAAGAUUAAAACUCAAAUGAAUUGACGGGGGCCCGCACAAGCGGUGGAUUAUGUGGAUUAAUUCGAUGCAACGCGAAAAACCUUACCUGGCCUUGACAUGUAACGAACUUUCCAGAGAUGGAUUGGUGCUCGAAAGAGAACGUUAACACAGGUGCUGCAUGGCUGUCGUCAGCUCGUGUCGUGAGAUGUUGGGUUAAGUCCCGCAACGAGCGCAACCCUUGCCAUUAAUUGCCAUCAUUUAGUUGGGCACUUUAAUGGGACUGCCGGUGACAAACCGGAGGAAGGUGGGGAUGACGUCAAGUCCUCAUGGCCCUUAUGGCCAGGGCUUCACACGUAAUACAAUGGUCGGUACAGAGGGUUGCCAACCCGCGAGGGGGAGCCAAUCCCAGAAAGCCGAUCGUAGUCCGGAUUGUAGUCUGCAACUCGACUACAUGAAGUCGGAAUCGCUAGUAAUCGCGGAUCAGCAUGUCGCGGUGAAUACGUUCCCGGGCCUUGUACACACCGCCCGUCACACCAUGGGAGUGGGUUUUACCAGAAGUAGGUAGUCUAACCGCAAGGAGGACGCUUACCACGGUAGUAUUCAUGACUGGGGUGAAGUCGUAACAAGGUAACC
RNAcentral lists this ribosomal RNA (732 nucleotides) under uncultured bacterium. RNAcentral's name for it is "bacterial SSU rRNA". It matches the Rfam family "Bacterial small subunit ribosomal RNA", at positions 771 to 1501 of the family's 1533-position model. The record is from RNAcentral.